GCCGGUUUAGCUCAGUGGUAGCAGCGUUUCACUUGUAAUGAAAAGGUCACUUGUUCGAUCCAGGUAAUCGGCA
This is a non-coding RNA of Umbelopsis ramanniana AG, 73 nucleotides long. NCBI's taxonomy places the organism in Eukaryota, Fungi, Mucoromycota, Umbelopsidomycetes, Umbelopsidales, Umbelopsidaceae. The record is from the annotation of a RefSeq genome assembly.